This 363-nucleotide unclassified non-coding RNA is filed under the name Hevea brasiliensis (rubber tree). The record is from RNAcentral. Lineage: Eukaryota; Viridiplantae; Streptophyta; Magnoliopsida; Malpighiales; Euphorbiaceae.
UUUUUUUUUUUUUUUUUACUAGUUUAGUUUAUACUUCUAUAGUCUUCUGUUUCUCCCUUUGGUAUUGAACUCAUUGACAUGGCCAAUAGUAUUAUACAUGCAGAAUUUCAAUUGAAUGAAACCCCCAGCAGCUUUUUGAGAUAUUCUAUUGUUUCUUGCAGAACCAGGCAGCUUCUUCUCAUGACUUUAAUUUCUAACCUUAUCCAAUAUCCAACUCGAAUUGUUGAGAGAAGCAACCAGGUCGAUAUUGAUUACUUGCAUUAUAAAAAUAAAUAAAUAGGAAUUUAGAUUGAUUUCGAGGGAAAACACAUGCUUUUCAACUAAGUGGAUAUUCCAAUAGGAAUUUAAUAAAUAAAUAAAUAA